GUGCAUUCUUCAAAACCCCCCGGUAGCUGUCUUUAGCUGCCGGGACAAGGAGGAAUGCUAGAGGAAUCCUAGAGUAAAGCAAGGCUGGGGUCGUUAACUCAAACUCUCAGCCAUUUCAGCUCUUGGACAUUC
Small nucleolar RNA from Anguilla rostrata (American eel), 132 nucleotides. RefSeq annotates it as small nucleolar RNA SNORA14. The transcript has a single exon. The record is from RefSeq and is a predicted model, not a curated record. NCBI's taxonomy places the organism in Eukaryota, Metazoa, Chordata, Actinopteri, Anguilliformes, Anguillidae.